This is a long non-coding RNA of Alosa sapidissima (American shad), 102 nucleotides long. RefSeq lists it as uncharacterized. The record is from RefSeq and is a predicted model, not a curated record. NCBI's taxonomy places the organism in Eukaryota, Metazoa, Chordata, Actinopteri, Clupeiformes, Clupeidae. The transcript is spliced from 3 exons.
ACAAAAAAUGUAUCAAAAUGUAUCGAAAAUUAAGUAAUCUUUGCGGUAUGUCCAUCGCAAGCGUUGAUAUCGCGAUAACGAUAGAUUUUAGAUAUAUCGUGC